Molecule: non-coding RNA, 1613 nt
Organism: Taeniopygia guttata (zebra finch)
Lineage: Eukaryota; Metazoa; Chordata; Aves; Passeriformes; Estrildidae
Source: RefSeq, a predicted model, not a curated record
GUAGAUUGCCCUGUUCACAUUGUUUUUAGGUCCAGGCAUGUGAGAAUGAUCAUUUAUGGGAACUAUGCUGAACCUCUGACAUCUGAAGAUAUUCUCUCUUCUUCCUAUCCUUUCUUUUUUGUUUCUGUUUGCCAGCACAGCUGAGCCUCCCUGAUGCUCCCCUCUGUGCAGGGGCAGCUCUGCAGCUUCCCUUGCAGAGGACACUGGUGUUCUGCAGGAGCUCAUUUUGUGCGAGUUUAGCAUUCUGAAUUAAUUCCCAGUGCCUGUCCAAGGCAGCAUAAGUAUGCUGCAGGGUCGAAGCCCAGGGAGUGGGAUUGUUUCUGGCAGUAAUUAGCUGGUAACCCUACACUCAGAGUGGAUUUAAGAACUCUGUCCCAGGCACCAACUGCCUGCUUCUCACUCAAUGUUUUGUACCAGUAAUUGGCUACCAGUUUCUGACUGGGGAUCUAAUCAAUAGCCUUAGAGAAGAAAAAAGAAUUUAAAAUACCUUGCUGUCUCUAAAUUCGUUUAAUCUGAUCUGAUUUUUGAUUUGCUCCAAGAUAAGUAUGGAUCAUUUAGUGUAGCAAGAGAAAUUAUUUUUGGAGCCUAAAUAAUGGUGCUUUGUCUUCAAAUUUAGUAUUUUCUUGCUUUUGGAGGAAAUGUGUGUUCUGCUUCUACAAACUAAACAUAAUUAUAGUGUUCUCCCUUCAUUUCUCUGUAAGUCUGAAGCUGGAAACCACAGAAUUAAAAAGGAUUUUAAUGAGGGAAAUUUCACAACCCUCAUGAGAAAGACAGGAGAGUAGAGGCAGUUCCCUGUUUAUGAAGUAGAGGUGUCUGGUUUAUAAAUGCUGUUCUUCUGUUGCUUGGUGAUUUUAGGUCAGUUGUCAAAAUACAGAGCUAAAAAGCUGUAUUCCAUUCUUCUGGGCAAAAAUAAAGCAGCUUCGUGGUUUGGUUGGAGUUGCUGAUACAAAAUCAAGGAUAUAACAUGGAAUAUCCACCCUUAAGGGUGGAGAUAUAUAUCAAAAAAGGUGGAGAGAUAUAUCAAAGGUUGGAGAGUGCUUAAAGGGUCUCCAGAAAGGCAGGAGAAACUUUAUAUUUAAUCACUUGAGUAUGUGCUGGAUACUCAUUUUAUUCCUGGGCUUCCACAGAAAAAGAAUCAGGAACCUUAGAGCACUGUCCCAUGUAGCUGUGCUUUCCAAAAUGCUUUCCACAAAGAAGUAGUUGGAGGUUAUACUACAGAACAUUAAAUGGGUAUAUGGAAUAAAAUUUCCAUUUACUUAAUGUUGGCUUCUAGAUAUAUAAUAUAAUCAAACCUAAGAAAUUAGCAUUAAUUUGGGUUGUUUUUUUUUUACCAGUGGUUUGCUUGGUACAGGCUCACAGCAUCCAUACCAUGUGAAUAAGCUUCCAGUGCAGCCUGAGAUUUAGUCUUCCUUUUUGGUUAGUGCUGGCCAUUAUGUGGAGAAUACUCCAGUACACACGUGGUGGGGGUGAUGUCUGACAGACACCUUUGGGUUUUGGAGAACCUUAUUUCUUAAGCUUCAAUCACUAAGAAUUUUUAACAGACAUUAAAUUUAUGGCAGAAACAUUCCCAGCAUUAGUCUUUAUGUUUAUGUGCUGAGCAGAAGUAAUAGAAG